Molecule: long non-coding RNA, 1520 nt
Organism: Aethalodelphis obliquidens (Pacific white-sided dolphin)
Lineage: Eukaryota; Metazoa; Chordata; Mammalia; Artiodactyla; Delphinidae
Exons: 3
Source: RefSeq, a predicted model, not a curated record
AGUGUAGGAAAAAGGGAAAGGUAGGCAUGAACAGCACCACUACCAUCUCUCCCCAGUUUCCUAAUUCGGUUCCUUUCCGCCAGCUGAAACCGAGCAAUUCUGCCAGGAAGGAAUCUGUUCCUUUGGGGUCCUUCAGAAAGGGCUACUUUGGAGACGGGCGAUAGAUAAAUCUGAGCUUCCUGAAUUACCACCACGACCAGCGCCCCGCCCAAUCAUUGCUGCACCGGAACCCUACAGUGUAAAUGUGACCUUAAAGAGACCACUAAGGGAGCGGGUUUGACAGCCCAGCUCGCAGUUCCAGGGGGCAGCGUUUGACAGGUCUCAUCUACCUGGUGGGGACCUCUGGAUCUGGGAAGGAGUUGCUUGAACAAUUAUGACAGAAGCCAGGGAGACUGUCACAAGCAUGCCCUCAGGAACCCUAUCUGGAAUCAUAACUGAGGUCAGUGUCAGACAACUGGUCAGCGGUUUGCGGAAUCCCCAUCCUCCCUGAUCACUCCAAGGAUACUGACGUGCCUUGGUCGAGCUCUUUCCCUGGGUCUCUCGCAGGAGACUUGAAUUUGCUUAGAGAGCCCAAGUGCUGCCUCACAGCCUCUUAGCCCUUCUCAAGCUUCCGCUCUCUCUUACUACUGUUUACCUUCCACUCCUCGAUCCAAAGAUUCUUCUCCUUGUGAAGAUGAGUGCAAGAUACAGGUUGAAAGCUCUCUUGCUCUUAUCUAUUAGCAAACCCCCAUUAGUCCAAGGCUUUUCAACUCGUCCUGACACUUUCUUCUCUUUAACUUUCUUUUUGAAAAUUUUAACUUAGGGCUCUAACCUACGAGGAGUUUCUAUGUCCCCCUUUUUGUUCUUGUUACAUGCUCUUCUUACCACGUUUGUGAAUGUCCUGUUCACACCAGAGCAUCCCCAGCGACGCCCCCAAGCCAGUCCUCUGGAUGUCUCCUUGUUUCCCUCCACACAAUGGCCAGAGAGAACAUAAGUGAAGUGCAUUUGAUCAUGGCAUCCUUCAUAACUCCCCUUUGCCUUAGCAAAAUAUCCUGGCCCUUUCCAAUCUGUCCCCACCCCCCCUUUCCACCCUCAUCCUUCCCUGCCCCCACGUUCAGGUGCUCCCGCCACACCCACUCUACUUGCUGUUUCCAGAACCUGCCAGGAUCUUGGGUCUCCAUCUUGGUCCCUGCCAGGCUCCUUUACUAGAAUGUCCUUCCCCUGCUGGGUGCAGCGCUCUCAGAUUCCUGGCAGCAAUAGAGGAAGGGAAAGAGGCCCAUUAGAAUGGGUGGUGUGAGUUCAACACCCACUUAGUAAUGCUAACGUUGGGGAAGUCACUCAGCUUCUCAGAGCCUCAGCUUCUCAGCUGGUAUUGGGUUUGUCUGGAUUAUCUUUAACAUCUCCUUCUGGUCUAAUACUAGCCACCUCCCCUCCCUCGCCAUGAAAAUUAUACUGAAUUGUAAUUUAGUUUUUUUUGUUUUUUGUUUUGCGGUACGCGGGCCUCUCACUGUCGUGGCCUCUCCCGUUGUGGAGCACAGGCU